Molecule: ribosomal RNA, 205 nt
Filed under: uncultured bacterium
Lineage: Bacteria
Description: partial 16S ribosomal RNA
Rfam family: Bacterial small subunit ribosomal RNA
Source: RNAcentral
UACGUAGGGGGCAAGCGUUGUCCGGAUUUAUUGGGCGUAAAGAGCGUGUAGGCGGUUCGGUAGGUCCGUUGUGAAAACUCGAGGCUCAACCUCGAGACGCCGAUGGAAACCAUCGAACUAGAGUCCGGAAGAGGAGAAUGGAAUUCCUGGUGUAGCGGUGAAAUGCGCAGAUAUCAGGAAGAACACCCGUGGCUAAGGCGGUCUC